Molecule: ribosomal RNA, 440 nt
Filed under: uncultured bacterium
Lineage: Bacteria
Description: partial 16S ribosomal RNA
Rfam family: Bacterial small subunit ribosomal RNA
Source: RNAcentral
CCUACGGGUGGCAGCAGUGGGGAAUAUUGCACAAUGGGGGAAACCCUGAUGCAGCGACGCCGCGUGAGUGAAGAAGUAAUUCGUUAUGUAAAGCUCUAUCAGCAGGGAAGAAAAUGACGGUAUCUGAGUAAGAAGCCCCGGCUAACUACGUGCCAGCAGCCGCGGUAAUACGUAGGGGGCAAGCGCUAUCCGGAUUUACUGGGUGUAAAGGGAGCGUAGACGGCAGUGCAAGUCUGGAGUGAAAGGCGGGGGCUCAACCCCCGGACUGCACUUGAAACUGGGUGUCUUGAGGGCAGGAGAGGAAAGUGGAAUUCCUAGUGUAGCGGUGAAAUGCGUAGAUAUAAGGAGGAACACCAGUGGCGAAGGCGACUAUCUGGACUGUACCUGACGCUGAGGCGCGAAAGCGUGGGUAGCGAACGGGAUUAGAUACCCCUGUAGUC